AGAUAAGUAUGAGACGAAAGGAUGGAAGAGUUUCAGCACGGGGUCGGACUUAUCGUGAAAACUUGGGAAGUGCCCCGGUUUUCACAAAUUGCCUAACACUUGGGCCUCUCUUUGUUAUGCUCAGGUUUCUGAUGCUUUUAAUUGUUUAAUCAUAAAUCUGUACAAUGAUUGGCAUGCUGGCAUUAUUCCUUCUGAUAGAUAUAAGGAUUCAUAAUUAUUAUGAUUUCAUCAGAUAGAAGGUCUGUCUUUAAAAGUCUUCCAAUAAAUUCUUUUGAGGACUGAAUUGUAUAGUGAUGUGUUUUCAUUAUGGUAUUGACCCAUGUGAUUGUGCCUUUUCCCAGAUUGCAGAGGAGUGACAAAGUCUUAUUAACCAUUGGUCUUAGGGCUACUGGGGUUUUAUAUGUCUACAUAUCCAAACAAAUGUAGAGGCAUUGGCCAGUAAACCCUAUUUACUUUUCAGCAUUUAGGAAACUUUUUUGAGGUUAUGUUUUUAUUAACUUUUCUUGAGAGAUCAUCUGUAGUCUUGUAAUAUUUCUGAGUCAGAAUUUUUAAUGAAAUCAUGCAGGAGAGUCUUACAGGUAUUUUUAUGUAUAAAGGCUAGUUUUUUAGUUUUAUCCUCCCUAGUAUAUAUAAUGUCUUCCUCAAGCAGCCAGUGCCUAGUGAAUGCUGUGGCAGCUUUUGAUUUUUUUCUCAAUGUUAUAUUUUUUAGAUUUAGUGUACUUAUUCCUUUCGCUAACUACCACUCAUCUUGUCUUCUCAUGUUGCACUUUAUCAUAAGCAGUUAGUAAGGGUUCCAGUUAGGGUAUAAUGUCAGUAAAUCUGAGGAUUAUUUCAAUUGCACAAUUAGGUCCUUUGAAUAUAAGUUCUUCUACUGGGGAGAUAUGUAUAUACUAUCAAUGACCAUUAAGACAUCAUCUAUAUUUAAAGCUGGUGUGCGUCUCUUUGUUAACUGAUUGUGAAAUAUCCAUUUUAAUAUCAAUCCAGCAUUAUUUCAGCUAAAAUAAUAUGGAUCUGGUGGCUGUGUUUUGGGAAAGCAUUUAUAAAUUUAAGAAAAAUG
RNAcentral lists this long non-coding RNA (1057 nucleotides) under Androctonus crassicauda. The record is from RNAcentral. Lineage: Eukaryota; Metazoa; Arthropoda; Arachnida; Scorpiones; Buthidae.